GAUGAACGCUAGCGAUAGGCUUAACACAUGCAAGUCGAGGGGCAGCAUUAUUUUAGCUUGCUAAGAUAGAUGGCGACCGGCGCACGGGUGCGUAACGCGUAUGCAACCUGCCUGUAAUUAGGGAAUAACCCGGUGAAAGUCGGACUAAUACCCUAUAUUCUUCUUUCUCCGCAUGGGGGAGGACGGAAAGAUUUAUUGAUUACAGAUGGGCAUGCGUCCCAUUAGCUGGUUGGUAAGGUAACGGCUUACCAAGGCAACGAUGGGUAGGGGGACUGAGAGGUUGACCCCCCACACUGGUACUGAGACACGGACCAGACUCCUACGGGAGGCAGCAGUGAGGAAUAUUGGUCAAUGGGCGAGAGCCCUGAACCAGCCAAGUCGCGUGAAGGACGACGGUUUCUAUGGAUUGUAA
This 412-nucleotide ribosomal RNA is filed under the name Porphyromonas endodontalis. RNAcentral's name for it is "bacterial SSU rRNA". It matches the Rfam family "Bacterial small subunit ribosomal RNA", at positions 28 to 428 of the family's 1533-position model. The record is from RNAcentral. Lineage: Bacteria; Pseudomonadati; Bacteroidota; Bacteroidia; Bacteroidales; Porphyromonadaceae.